GUACAGAAGGACGUGCUCUGUAGAUUAUUCCAGCAGAUAAGUUUCUUUCUGAGAAACAAGCUCAACCAGGAGAUGUUGCCAUGAAAUCUGGACCUUUUAAGCAAGCAGCAGGUCUGUUUUAUCUGGUGAGAGCACAGCAUGAAGUGGGCUGCUGAGACUACUGGCAUCCAGCAUGACGCCCUCUACAGUCCCAGGCAAUGCAAAGCUCCUGAGUUCUUCCUGAUUUCUGAAGACACCAAGUGAGCUGGAAGUCACCAGCGUGCUCUCAACAUCAUCCUGUUGGGUCAUCACCAAGCAGGCAAGCUGUCAAAAUGAAGAUUGGCCAACUUCACUUAUGGGGAUUUAGCACAGUUUUCCAGAGUGGUUGCUGGAAGGUUUCACAUGACCUGACCCUCCCAAAGCCUCCCUGAGUGAACAGAGGAAAAGACAAGUCCUUCUGUGGAGCAUUUCAGAGCCAGAGCCUAC
Molecule: long non-coding RNA, 465 nt
Filed under: Gallus gallus (chicken)
Lineage: Eukaryota; Metazoa; Chordata; Aves; Galliformes; Phasianidae
Description: lncRNA (ENSGALG00010019276.1)
Source: RNAcentral